CCUACGGGAUGCAGCAGUGGGGGAUAUUACACAAUGGGGGAAACCCUGAUGCAGCGACGCCGCGUGAGUGAAGACGUAUUUCGGUAUGUAAAGCUCUAUCAGCAGGGAAGAAAAAAGACGGUACCUGACUAAGAAGCCCCGGUUAACUACGUGCCAGCAGCCGCGGUAAUACGUAGGGGGCAAGCGUUAUCCGGAUUUACUGGGUGUAAAGGGAGCGUAUACGGCAAUACAAGUCGGAAUUGAAAUACCCGGGCUCCACCCGGUAACUGCUUAGGAAACUGCAUGGCUAGAGUGCUGGAGAGGUAAGCGGAAUUCCUAGUGUAGCGGUGAAAUGCGUAGAUAUAAGGAGGAACACCAGUGGCGAAGGCGGAUUGCUGGACAGUAACUGACGCUGAGGCGCGAAAGCGUGGGGAGCAAACAGGAUUAGAUACCCUUGUAGUC
This 441-nucleotide ribosomal RNA is filed under the name uncultured bacterium. Its description in RNAcentral is "partial 16S ribosomal RNA". It matches the Rfam family "Bacterial small subunit ribosomal RNA", at positions 338 to 795 of the family's 1533-position model. The record is from RNAcentral.